RNAcentral lists this ribosomal RNA (274 nucleotides) under uncultured bacterium. RNAcentral's name for it is "partial 16S ribosomal RNA". It matches the Rfam family "Bacterial small subunit ribosomal RNA", at positions 523 to 796 of the family's 1533-position model. The record is from RNAcentral.
AUACGGAGGUUGCAAGCGUUAAUCGGAAUUACUGGGCGUAAAGGGCGCGGAGGCGGUCUAUCAAGUCAGUUGUGAAAUCCCACGGCUCAACCGUGGAGGUGCAUCUGAAACUGAUAGACUUGAGUAUGGGAGAGGAAAGUGGAAUUCCCGGUGUAGAGGUGAAAUUCGUAGAUAUCGGGAGGAACACCAGUGGCGAAGGCGACUUUCUGGACCAAUACUGACGCUGAGGCGCGAAAGCGUGGGGAGCAAACAGGAUUAGAUACCCUAGUAGUCC